RNAcentral lists this ribosomal RNA (449 nucleotides) under uncultured bacterium. RNAcentral describes it as "bacterial SSU rRNA". It matches the Rfam family "Bacterial small subunit ribosomal RNA", at positions 355 to 825 of the family's 1533-position model. The record is from RNAcentral.
UGGGGAAUCUUGGACAAUGGGCGCAAGCCUGAUCCAGCCAUGCCGCGUGAAGGAUGAAGUAUUUCGGUAUGUAAACUUCGUAAGAAUAGGAAGAAUAAAUGACGGUACUAUUUGUAAGGUCCGGCUAACUACGUGCCAGCAGCCGCGGUAAUACGUAGGGACCAAGCGUUGUUCGGAUUUACUGGGCGUAAAGGGCGCGUAGGCGGCAUGACAAGUCACUUGUGAAAUCUCUGGGCUUAACCCAGAACGGCCAAGUGAUACUGUCGCGCUAGAGUGCAGAAGGGGCAAUCGGAAUUCUUGGUGUAGCGGUGAAAUGCGUAGAUAUCAAGAGGAACACCUGAAAGGUGAAGACGGGUUGCUGGGCUGACACUGACGCUGAGGCGCGAAAGCCAGGGGAGCAAACGGGAUUAGAUACCCCUGUAGUCCCUGAGCGGGCUGGCAAGGCGCAU